Molecule: ribosomal RNA, 311 nt
Filed under: Bacillus sp. BT-B192
Lineage: Bacteria; Bacillati; Bacillota; Bacilli; Caryophanales; Bacillaceae
Description: bacterial SSU rRNA
Rfam family: Bacterial small subunit ribosomal RNA
Source: RNAcentral
CAGGCCUAACACAUGCAAGUCGAGCGAAUGGAUUAAGAGCUUGCUCUUAUGAAGUUAGCGGCGGACGGGUGAGUAACACGUGGGUAACCUGCCCAUAAGACUGGGAUAACUCCGGGAAACCGGGGCUAAUACCGGAUAACAUUUUGAACCGCAUGGUUCGAAAUUGAAAGGCGGCUUCGGCUGUCACUUAUGGAUGGACCCGCGUCGCAUUAGCUAGUUGGUGAGGUAACGGCUCACCAAGGCAACGAUGCGUAGCCGACCUGAGAGGGUGAUCGGCCACACUGGGACUGAGACACGCCCCAGACUCCUAC